UCAGAGGGUAGUUUAAGUUUAAAAUGUUAGUUUUGGGAAUUAAUAAUAGGAAAUGUUCCUCCCGCUGAU
RNAcentral lists this transfer RNA (69 nucleotides) under Hemisquilla californiensis. Its description in RNAcentral is "tRNA-Pro". The record is from RNAcentral. Lineage: Eukaryota; Metazoa; Arthropoda; Malacostraca; Stomatopoda; Hemisquillidae.